Molecule: unclassified non-coding RNA, 300 nt
Filed under: uncultured Helotiales
Lineage: Eukaryota; Fungi; Ascomycota; Leotiomycetes; Helotiales
Description: sequence contains 5.8S rRNA gene, ITS2
Rfam family: 5.8S ribosomal RNA (bases 1-91)
Source: RNAcentral
CAGAUGGUUAUAAGAGACAGGUGAAUCAUCGAAUCUUUGAACGCACAUUGCGCCCUCUGGUAUUCCGGGGGGCAUGCCUGUUCGAGCGUCAUUAUAACCACUCAAGCUCUCGCUUGGUAUUGGGGUUCGCGGUUUCGCGGCCUCUAAAAUCAGUGGCGGUGCCUGCCGGCUCUACGCGUAGUAAUACUCCUCGCGUCUGGGUCCGGUAGGUCUACUUGCCAGCAACCCCCAAUUUUUUACAGGUUGACCUCGGAUCAGGUAGGGAUACCCGCUGAACUUAAGCAUAUCAAUAAGCGGAGG